Molecule: long non-coding RNA, 1045 nt
Organism: Puntigrus tetrazona (Sumatra barb)
Lineage: Eukaryota; Metazoa; Chordata; Actinopteri; Cypriniformes; Cyprinidae
Exons: 3
Source: RefSeq, a predicted model, not a curated record
AGGUGGCAGCACAUACUCCACUUUUACAGUUACCAGAAGACAUCAGUUCGGAGGUAAAUGUCUCCUACAGCUAUGCUAUUAAGAUUUAUAAGACUAUUUCUUCAUUAACGAACAACUCCACAGAGGAACAAUAGAGAAAACUUCAAUAACGUUAUAGUCCGCCAAAAGAGUCCUGUGGCACAACCUAAUAUUACAGCCGUUUGUACGGCCUGGUUUUCACGGUGUGAAAUAUCCUACCAUGCAGAGUUCUUUAUUUGUUAGUCUCCUUACUGCAUUCUUCUGUUGUGGUAAAGAAAAAUACAAGAAUGUCGAAAGCCUGCAUUGUGGAUUCAGUGCUGUUUAUCUUUGCUCAGUGCGCUUCUGUGACUCCAAACUCCAUCGGAACAGGAAAGCUGCUGUCAGCAAUCAAUAUGCUGCAGUGCAGUUUAUAAUCGUCUCGUCGUUCUUAAUUGAUAUUGACGCGACUUUCAACUUGCUUCAUUGGUCGCCAAAGCGAAAAACCCACUCUCCCGCUCCUGCUUUGGAGUCUGACGCUCUGAUGAAUUCCUCAGAGAGGCCUGUCUGAACUACACUCCUGCGCUGGGUCCUGCUGUGGUGGCAAAUUACUGGGCCUGCCACUGGGUGUAUAGUGUUACUCACUAGUGGUGAUCGCCGUUGUCCUCAGGUUUGUCUCGACGGGGAAAAAGCGAAAUGAAAAACGUGAUUAGCUGAAAUAGAGUGAUAAGCAGAACAACUAUGCCCUUUAUUUUUUAAUAUGAGAAAGGACAACCAUUCGUAGCAUGAAUGUGAUUUUGCCUGUUUCUUCGUACUGCAAACAGAUAUGUUAUCAUGUGAAUUUUAGUCAUUAUCAUAAUACUAUCAACACAGUUGUUUUUUUUAAAUAGCUUUAACGUUUAGAGCUUUUUUUUCCUAGUUAUUGCCCUAUAGUGGCUAAUAAAUCAGUUUUGCACAUUAAAAAAUGAUGUUAGAAUGCAUUCUUAGCAUUCCUUAUAUAAUGAAUGACUUUUGAACAACAACAGCAUUUAUAAUAUAACACCAAAUAUCG